RNAcentral lists this transfer RNA (67 nucleotides) under Modiolus modiolus (northern horsemussel). RNAcentral describes it as "tRNA-Val". The record is from RNAcentral. Lineage: Eukaryota; Metazoa; Mollusca; Bivalvia; Mytilida; Modiolidae.
GGGAAAAUAGAAUAAUGUAGUUCGUUUCAUUUACACUGAAAAAGUCAAUAUUGGUGUUGUUUUCCUU